AUACUUACCUGGUAGGGAAGGUACCAUGAUCAUGAAGUUGGGUUUCCCAGAGUGAGGCUUUGUCCUGCAGGUGUGCUAACCCCUGCGAUUUCCCCAAAUGUGGGAAACUCGACUGCAUAAGGUGUGGUAGCGGGGGACUGCAUUCAUGCAUUUCCCUG
This 158-nucleotide small nuclear RNA is filed under the name Carlito syrichta (Philippine tarsier). Its description in RNAcentral is "U1 spliceosomal RNA (ENSTSYG00000035641.1)". It matches the Rfam family "U1 spliceosomal RNA". From Rfam's summary of the family: U1 is a small nuclear RNA (snRNA) component of the spliceosome (involved in pre-mRNA splicing). Lineage: Eukaryota; Metazoa; Chordata; Mammalia; Primates; Tarsiidae. The record is from Rfam by way of RNAcentral.